AACGAACGCUGGCGGCAGGCCUAACACAUGCAAGUCGAGCGGACGUAGCAAUACGUCAGCGGCGCACGGGUGAGUAACGCGUGGGAACCUGCCCUUUGGUUCGGAACAACCCUGGGAAACUAGGGCUAAUACCGGAUAAGCCCCGUAAGGGGAAGAUUAUCGCCGAAGGAGGGCCGCGUCCGAUUAGCUAGUUGGUGGGGUAAGUGGCCUACCAAGGCUUCGAUCGGUAGCCGGUCUGAGAGGACGAUCGGCCACACUGGGACUGAGACACGGCCCAGACUCCUACGGGAGGCAGCAGUGGGGAAUAUUGGACAAUGGGGGAACCCUGAUCCAGCCAUGCCGCGUGGGUGAUGAAGGCCUUCGGUUGUAAGUA
Molecule: ribosomal RNA, 373 nt
Filed under: uncultured bacterium
Lineage: Bacteria
Description: bacterial SSU rRNA
Rfam family: Bacterial small subunit ribosomal RNA
Source: RNAcentral